UCCUCACCUUUUUCCGGAAAUUUUUUUGCGUACCGGGGGGGUCAAAAGGAAGAGGGCCCAAACUUUUAAGUUCACCCCCCCCCCCCUCUGACACAGACUCUGGACACAGCAAAAAUAACAAAUUUAUUAAUACUUUUAUGACUACAAAUUUCUUUUCUACUAACAAAAAUGUAUGCAGAAUAUACUGAUAAUAAAUAAUAUUACGCUUUUACAGAAUUCGACUUUUUUAUUGUUUAAUUGAUUUUUAGAAGUUAGAAAAGACAAACUUAAGGUUUUCUGGGAGAGAAAGGAUGGUAACCAAGGGCCAAGUAUUGCAUACGCCGGAAUACCAUUCGUGCAUGUUGGAGAGAAAGUCUUGUGGUGUCACCAAGGGAAAGACAAAAAUGAAAAAGCAAAACAAAAAAAUAAGGAGAAGAUUCGCAGCAGUCAGGUAACAAGACAUUUAGCAAAUACUAAUAGGCAUACACAGCUUUCUACAAAUAAGCGGAUUUUACUUUUCAUUUUACAGGGUGCCGACCAUUGUUAUCAUACCCAGAGAAGAUCUUUUGGUCAGACAUCUAAAAAGAAAGAAUGCCCAGCUACAAUUUUCAUCACACAAAUUGCAAAAUUUCCGCAAAUGAAGGUCUUUAAAUGUUGUAAACAAACGAUAAAAUAAGUCUUUUUCUAACAUACAUAAAAACCCGCAAACAUGACGUAUACACUAUUCUUUAGAUUGAAAAAGACAGUAUAUUCUUCAGAAGAAGAAUUGCAAAACAAUUGCACGAAAAAUUGAAGGAAAACACUAUUGCAAGUGACGGUGUUGAAAUGCGGUAUAUCGUAAAGUUACCUCAUCCUUCUGAACACCAAUAUCACUUAACUGGGAAGGUAACAAUUUGUUUAAAAGUUAAAGGGAAUUGCAUGUAUGAAAAUAAAUAUUGACGCAGAAUUAUAAAUUACUAAUGACAACAUUUGGUAAUGAUAAUAUUUUAAUAUAGUACAUUAUCGCAACCGGUGAACCGCAAGUUUAUCCUAUCCAACGUUUCAAGAAAACACUUCAAUACCACAGAAUAAACAUUUACAGAAGUCCGACUUCGUGUCGGUGGUGCCUUUGAUGUUAGUGUAACCGCCACCACGCCAUGUUAUUUGCAA
This is a non-coding RNA of Paramuricea clavata, 1128 nucleotides long. The record is from the annotation of a GenBank genome assembly. Lineage: Eukaryota; Metazoa; Cnidaria; Anthozoa; Malacalcyonacea; Plexauridae.